GAUGAAGAACGCAGCGAAAUGCGAUAAGUAGUGUGAAUUGCAGAAUUCCGUGAAUCAUCGAAUCUUUGAACGCACAUUGCGCCCCUUGGUAUCCCGAGGGGCAUGCCUGUUCGAGCGUCAUUUCACCACUCAAGCCUGGCUUGGUGUUGGGCGACGUCCCCUUUGGGGACGCGCCUCGAAACGCUCGGCGGCGUGGCACCGGCUUUAAGCGUAGCAGAAUCUUUCGCUUUGGAAGUCGGGGCCCCGUCUGCCGGAAGACCUACUCGCAAGGUUGACCUCGGAUCAGGCAGGGAUACCCGCUGAACUUAAGCAUAUCAAUAAGCGGAGGA
This 329-nucleotide unclassified non-coding RNA is filed under the name soil metagenome. RNAcentral's name for it is "partial contains 5.8S ribosomal RNA, internal transcribed spacer 2, and large subunit ribosomal RNA". The stretch from base 1 to 120 matches the Rfam family "5.8S ribosomal RNA", at positions 35 to 154 of the family's 154-position model. The record is from RNAcentral.